GAAGCUGUGGCUUAGUGGGUAAAGCUGCUGCCUGAGAUGUUUGCAUCCCAUAGGGGCACUGGUUCUAGUCCUGGCUGCUUCA
Molecule: transfer RNA, 82 nt
Filed under: Oryctolagus cuniculus (rabbit)
Lineage: Eukaryota; Metazoa; Chordata; Mammalia; Lagomorpha; Leporidae
Rfam family: tRNA
About the family: Transfer RNA (tRNA) molecules are approximately 80 nucleotides in length. Their secondary structure includes four short double-helical elements and three loops (D, anti-codon, and T loops). Further hydrogen bonds mediate the characteristic L-shaped molecular structure. tRNAs have two regions of fundamental functional importance: the anti-codon, which is responsible for specific mRNA codon recognition, and the 3' end, to which the tRNAs corresponding amino acid is attached (by aminoacyl-tRNA synthetases). tRNAs cope with the degeneracy of the genetic code in two manners: having more than one tRNA (with a specific anti-codon) for a particular amino acid; and 'wobble' base-pairing, i.e. permitting non-standard base-pairing at the 3rd anti-codon position.
Source: Rfam by way of RNAcentral